CGGGGGGAGCAAGCGUUGUUCGGAUUUACUGGGCGUAAAGGGCGCGUAGGCGGCGCAACAAGUCACUUGUGAAAUCUCCGGGCUUAACUCGGAGCGGCCAAGUGAUACUGUCGUGCUAGAGUGCGGAAGGGGCAACUGGAAUUCUCGGUGUAGCGGUGAAAUGCGUAGAUAUCGAGAGGAACACCUGCGGCGAAGGCGGGUUGCUGGGCCGACACUGACGCUGAGGCGCGAAAGCCAGGGGAGCGAACGGGAUUAGAUACCCCGGUAGUCCUGGCCUUAAACGGUGGAUGCUUGGUGUCCGGGGUUACAUAGUCCCCGGGUGCCGUCGCUAACGCCUUAAGCAUCCCGCCUGGGGAGUACGCACGCAAGUGUG
RNAcentral lists this ribosomal RNA (373 nucleotides) under uncultured organism. RNAcentral describes it as "bacterial SSU rRNA". It matches the Rfam family "Bacterial small subunit ribosomal RNA", at positions 526 to 896 of the family's 1533-position model. The record is from RNAcentral.